AUUCUGCCCCUUCUUCUUCCUCUUUUCAGUUCAUCCUUGCACAUAAGCUUUUCUCAAAUGAGGCCUGCUUUACUAGUCUCUGUCAUGCUCUUUCUUCUUGUAGAGGCUCAAGCUAUUCGAGUACUGCAACAAGAUAUUUCAUUAGCUGGUCAUCAGAAAUUCCAUG
Long non-coding RNA from Telopea speciosissima, 166 nucleotides. RefSeq lists it as uncharacterized. The record is from RefSeq and is a predicted model, not a curated record. Lineage: Eukaryota; Viridiplantae; Streptophyta; Magnoliopsida; Proteales; Proteaceae. The transcript has 2 exons.